This 22-nucleotide microRNA is filed under the name Xenopus laevis (African clawed frog). Its description in RNAcentral is "Xla-Novel-15_5p (mature (guide))". The record is from RNAcentral. Lineage: Eukaryota; Metazoa; Chordata; Amphibia; Anura; Pipidae.
AAACACAGAAUGGGUAUGAGUG